ACGUGCGAUCGUACCAUCACAAAAGCAUCGGAUCCCAUCAGAACUCCUUAGUUAACCGUGCUUGGGAGAAAGUAGUACUAGGAUGUGUGACCUCCUAAAAAGUCCUUGUGUUGCACCUU
Lupinus angustifolius (narrow-leaved blue lupine) is the source of this 119-nucleotide non-coding RNA. Lineage: Eukaryota; Viridiplantae; Streptophyta; Magnoliopsida; Fabales; Fabaceae. The record is from Rfam.